GAUGAACGCUAGCGAUAGGCUUAACACAUGCAAGUCGAGGGGCAGCAUGGUCUUAGCUUGCUAAGACUGAUGGCGACCGGCGCACGGGUGCGUAACGCGUAUGCAACUUGCCUCACAGAGGGGGAUAACCCGUCGAAAGACGGACUAAUACCGCGUACACUUGGGAUAGGGCAUCCUGACCCAAGGAAAUGAAAUUCGCUGUGAGAUAGGCAUGCGUCCCAUUAGCUAGUUGGUGAGGUAACGGCUCACCAAGGCGACGAUGGGUAGGGGAACUGAGAGGUUGAACCCCCACACUGGUACUGAGACACGGACCAGACUCCUACGGGAGGCAGCAGUGAGGAAUAUUGGUCAAUGGGCGAGAGCCUGAACCAGCCAAGUCGCGUGAAGGAUGACUGUCUUAUGGAUUGUAAACUUCAUUUAUACGGGAAUAACAAGAGCCACGUGUGGCUCCCUGCAUGUACCGUAUGAAUAAGCAUCGGCUAACUCCGUG
RNAcentral lists this ribosomal RNA (490 nucleotides) under uncultured bacterium. RNAcentral describes it as "partial 16S ribosomal RNA". It matches the Rfam family "Bacterial small subunit ribosomal RNA", at positions 28 to 507 of the family's 1533-position model. The record is from RNAcentral.